Molecule: unclassified non-coding RNA, 565 nt
Filed under: Hevea brasiliensis (rubber tree)
Lineage: Eukaryota; Viridiplantae; Streptophyta; Magnoliopsida; Malpighiales; Euphorbiaceae
Source: RNAcentral
GGGGGCGGCGGCGUUUGCAUGUGACAGGCGGAAUGUGGCGACGAGAAAUAUGGGGUUUUGUAAGGGGUCAUUGGGAAUAGAAGAGAGAGUUAAGGACUUAAUCGGGAGAUUAACGUUGGGAGAGAAAAUAAGGCUUUUAGUUAACAAUGCAAUUGCCGUGCCGCGGCUGGGGAUUAGAGGAUAUGAGUGGUGGUCCGAAGCGCUUCAUGGAGUCUCUAACGUGGGCCCCGGUACCAAGUUUGGUGGGCCCUUCCCUGCCGCCACUAGCUUUCCUCAAGUCAUCACAACCGCUGCUUCUUUCAAUCAAUCGCUCUGGCAAGAAAUCGGACGGGUAGUUUCUGACGAGGCGAGAGCUAUGUACAACGGAGGAACGGCAGGAUUAACCUACUGGAGUCCAAACGUGAACAUUUUUCGAGAUCCACGGUGGGGGCGAGGGCAAGAAACUCCUGGUGAGGACCCGAUCGUGGCCGGAAAAUAUGCCGCCAGCUACGUCCGAGGGCUGCAGGGGAAUGCUGGGGGGAAAAGGCUGAAGGUGGCUGCUUGUUGCAAGCAUUAUACAGCCUAU